GUGGGGAAUAUUGCACAAUGGGCGCAAGCCUGAUGCAGCAACGCCGCGUGAGGGAUGACGGCCUUCGGGUUGUAAACCUCUUUUAGCAGGGAAGAAGCGAAAGUGACGGUACCUGCAGAAAAAGCACCGGCUAACUACGUGCCAGCAGCCGCGGUAAUACGUAGGGUGCAAGCGUUGUCCGGAAUUAUUGGGCGUAAAGAGCUCGUAGGCGGUUUGUCGCGUCUGCUGUGAAAACGCGAGGCUCAACCUCGCGCCUGCAGUGGGUACGGGCAGACUAGAGUGCGGUAGGGGAGAUUGGAAUUCCUGGUGUAGCGGUGGAAUGCGCAGAUAUCAGGAGGAACACCGAUGGCGAAGGCAGAUCUCUGGGCCGUUACUGACGCUGAGGAGCGAAAGCGUGGGGAGCGAACAGG
RNAcentral lists this ribosomal RNA (410 nucleotides) under uncultured Amnibacterium sp. Its description in RNAcentral is "bacterial SSU rRNA". It matches the Rfam family "Bacterial small subunit ribosomal RNA", at positions 354 to 776 of the family's 1533-position model. The record is from RNAcentral. Lineage: Bacteria; Bacillati; Actinomycetota; Actinomycetes; Micrococcales; Microbacteriaceae.